AUGAAUCUAAACUUGACUCCCUCGCUGGACUCAAAUGAAUCUAAACUUGACUCCCUCUCACCAACACCAUUGAAUAUGUUUGAACUGAACCCACAUAUACUGAACUGUUUCUCUCUGCUCUUUCACUGCUCUCUCUUCCUCUCAUCCCCGUCUCUCUCAUCCCGUCUCUCUAUUCUCCGUCUCUCUCAUCCCCUCUCCGUCUCUCUCAUCCCCUCCCCGUCUCUCUCAUCCCCGUCUCUCUCAUCCCCUCCCCGUCUCUCUCAUCCCCUCCCCGUCUCUCUCAUCCCCGUCUCUCUCAUCUCCGUCUCUCUCAUCUCCGUCUCUCUCAUCCCGUCUCUCUCAUCCCGUCUCUCCCAUCCCGUCUCUCUCAUCCCCUCCCCGUCUUUCUCAUCCCCAUCUCUCUCAUCUCAUCCCAUUCUCUCUCAUCCCUCCCCGUCUCUCUCAUCCCGUCUCUCUCAUCUCCGUUUUCUCUCAUCCCCGUUCUCAUCUCCAUUUUCUCUCUCCCGUCUCUCUCAUCCCCUCUCCGUCUCUCUCAUCCCCUCUCCGUCUCUCUCAUCCCUGUCUCUCUCAUCCCCUCUCCGUCUCUCUCAUCCCCGUCUCUCUAUCCCGUCUCUCUCAUCCCCUCCCCGUCUCUCUCUCCCCUCUCCGUCUCUCUCAUCCCCUCUCCGUCCUCUCAUCCCCUCCCCGUCUCUCUCAUCCCCUCCCCGUCUCUCUCAUCCCUCUCCGUCUCUCUCAUCCCCUCCCCGUCUCUCUCAUCCCGUCUCUCUCAUCCCGUCUCUCUCAUCCCUCCCCGUCUCUCUCAUCCCCGUCUCUCCAUCCCUCCCCGUCUCUCUCAUCCCCGUCUCUCUCAUCCCCGUCUCCUCCCUCAUCCCUCUCUCAUCCAUCCCCGUCUCUCUCAUCCCAUCCCCGUCUCUCUCAUUCCUCCCAUCCGCCGUCUCUCUCAUCUCAUCCCCGUCUCCUCAUCCAUCCCCAUCUCUCUCAUCCCAUCCCUGUCUCUCUCAUCCGUCUCUCUCAUCCCCGUCUCUCUCAUCCCCUCCCCGUCUCUCUCAUCCCGUCUCUCUCAUCCCCUCCCCGUCUCUCUCAUCCCUCCCCGUCUCUCCAUCCCCGUCUCUCUCAUCCCUCCCCGUCUCUCUCAUCCCGUUCUCUCUCAUCCCCUCCCCGUCUCUCUCAUCCCGUCUCUCUCAUCCCUCCCCGUCUCUCUCAUCCCCCGUCUCUCUCAUCCCCGUCUCUCUCAUCCCCUCCCCGUCUCUCAUCCCCUUCCCCGUCUCUCUCAUCUCUCUCCUCUCCAGUUAA
This 1293-nucleotide long non-coding RNA is filed under the name Oncorhynchus kisutch (coho salmon). RNAcentral describes it as "lncRNA (ENSOKIG00005015258.1)". The record is from RNAcentral. Lineage: Eukaryota; Metazoa; Chordata; Actinopteri; Salmoniformes; Salmonidae.